Non-coding RNA from Phrynosoma platyrhinos (Desert horned lizard), 73 nucleotides. NCBI's taxonomy places the organism in Eukaryota, Metazoa, Chordata, Lepidosauria, Squamata, Phrynosomatidae. The record is from the annotation of a GenBank genome assembly.
GCCAGAAUGGUGUAGUGGUUUGAGCACUGGACUAGGACACUGGGAAACCCGGGUUCGAAUCCCCAUUCAGUCA